Molecule: ribosomal RNA, 540 nt
Filed under: Staphylococcus aureus
Lineage: Bacteria; Bacillati; Bacillota; Bacilli; Caryophanales; Staphylococcaceae
Description: partial 23S ribosomal RNA
Rfam family: Bacterial large subunit ribosomal RNA
Source: RNAcentral
GGUUCUCUCCGAAAUAGCUUUAGGGCUAGCCUCAAGUGAUGAUUAUUGGAGGUAGAGCACUGUUUGGACGAGGGGCCCCUCUCGGGUUACCGAAUUCAGACAAACUCCGAAUGCCAAUUAAUUUAACUUGGGAGUCAGAACAUGGGUGAUAAGGUCCGUGUUCGAAAGGGAAACAGCCCAGACCACCAGCUAAGGUCCCAAAAUAUAUGUUAAGUGGAAAAGGAUGUGGCGUUGCCCAGACAACUAGGAUGUUGGCUUAGAAGCAGCCAUCAUUUAAAGAGUGCGUAAUAGCUCACUAGUCGAGUGACACUGCGCCGAAAAUGUACCGGGGCUAAACAUAUUACCGAAGCUGUGGAUUGUCCUUUGGACAAUGGUAGGAGAGCGUUCUAAGGGCGUUGAAGCAUGAUCGUAAGGACAUGUGGAGCGCUUAGAAGUGAGAAUGCCGGUGUGAGUAGCGAAAGACGGGUGAGAAUCCCGUCCACCGAUUGACUAAGGUUUCCAGAGGAAGGCUCGUCCGCUCUGGGUUAGUCGGGUCCUAAG